GCCCGUAGCUCAGCAAGGUAGAGCGGCGGACUAGCCUUCGGGAUGGUCCCGGGUUCAAUUCCCGGCGGGC
This 70-nucleotide transfer RNA is filed under the name Candidatus Bathyarchaeota archaeon. RNAcentral's name for it is "tRNA-Ala". It matches the Rfam family "tRNA". Rfam says of the family: Transfer RNA (tRNA) molecules are approximately 80 nucleotides in length. Their secondary structure includes four short double-helical elements and three loops (D, anti-codon, and T loops). The record is from RNAcentral. Lineage: Archaea; Thermoproteati; Candidatus Bathyarchaeota.